Molecule: ribosomal RNA, 279 nt
Filed under: uncultured bacterium
Lineage: Bacteria
Description: partial 16S ribosomal RNA
Rfam family: Bacterial small subunit ribosomal RNA
Source: RNAcentral
UGCCAGCAGCCGCGGUAAUACAGAGGGUGCAAGCGUUAAUCGGAAUUACUGGGCGUAAAGCGUGCGUAGGUGGUUUGUUAAGUCAGAUGUGAAAGCCCUGGGCUCAACCUGGGAACUGCAUUUGAAACUGGCAAACUAGAGUAUGGUAGAGGGAAGUGGAAUUUCCGGUGUAGCGGUGAAAUGCGUAGAUAUCGGAAGGAACACCAGUGGCGAAGGCGGCUUCCCGGACCGAUAUUGACACUGAGGUGCGAAAGCGUGGGGAGCAAACAGGAUUAGAUA